AUUCAGUGUGUGAACUAGGUGAUCGACCUCGUCUUCGGGACGUGUUUAUAAAUGUGUUUUAGCUUUUAUAGAUGUAAAUACGCAAGAGGGAAAGAAAGAGAAACAGAACGUAACUAGGCCUAGUGCAAGCCAGUUGCAGAAUGCUGCCUUGAGGAACUCCGACGAAUUUGUGUCAAUUGGAGAGGAACCAGAUUCAUUUUUUUUUUUUUUUUUUUUGUGGAAAGUAACGUGAAAGUGACGCCGUAAUAUUCUACUUUAUAUACAAAACACAAACAACGGGAAACCGUAUUUUUACUUAUUUUUAAAAAUUCAGGCCACAGAACGUGAUUGAUACUAUAGGCCUAUAGGUGUAGGAUAGCAUUUAUCAACGUAAGAAGACUUUCGGAAUGGUUUUAUCUUACGCAAAUGGUGAUUUCUGCAAGAACUAUUUGACUAUUUGGUUAAUAAAUAGCUAACGGAAUAUUAUAUGGUACAUGAAACCUCUACACUUUUACCUAUUUUUAAAACUGGGCCAAUGAACGUGAUUGAUACUAUAGGCCUAGGUCUAGGAUAGCAUGUGUCAAGUACUCAAGGACUUUCAGAAUAGUUUUUCUAUACACAAGUGGUGAUUUCUUCAAACUAUUUGACUAUUUGGUUACUAAAUAUAUCAGGGAAUAUUGGAUGGUACUACGUGAAAGAACUGCUGCACUUUUAAAACUUAUUUUUAAACCCUAGACCACAGAACGUGAUUGUAUCAAUAGGCCUAGGUCUAGGAUAGUACAUAUAAACGUAAGAAGACUUUCGGUAUACAGUUUUUCUACACGCAAAUAGUGAUUUCUUCAAGAACUAUUUAACUAUUUGGUUAAUAGAUAUAGCUCUCGCGGAAUAUUGUAUGGUACUACGUGAAAGAUCUGCUGCCUUUUUAAAAACCUAUUAUUAAACCCUAGGCCACAGAACGUGAUUGUAUCAAUAGGCCUAGGUCUAGGAUAGUGUAUAUUAAAAUAAGAAGACUUUCGCUAUAUUUUUAUCAUAUGCAAGUGUUUAUUCCGUUAUUUCUUCAAUAACUAUUUGAAUAUUUGGUUACUAAGUAGCUCACGGAAUAUUGGAUGGUACAUACAAGGAAGAAUUGCAGCAUUUUUGUAACCUAUUUUUAAAACCUAGCACUAUACUAAUUCAAUAGGCCUAGUAGGUCUAGAAAACAUAGGUCAAAUUAUGGAAACUCUUAAAUAGUUUCUCUUUAAGCAAGUAGUGAUGUCUUCAAUAACUAUUUGAAUAUUAUGUUUACUAAAUAGUUCCUGGAUAUAACCACAACAAGUUUUAACUAUUGCCACUUGAGAAUUCCAAGAGAUAAACAGGCCUAGGUCUGGGAAUAUAUUUUCCAACGCAAGCACUUGAUUUCCUCAAUAACUAUUUGACUAUUUGGUUAGCAAAUAGUUCACGACCUUCGGAUUAAUCCUGGAAAUAACUACAAUACUUUUUAACUAUUGCCACUUGAGAAUUCCAAGCGAUAGACUCUUUAACACAUAGGCCUACGGUGGAAGCGGUUCAUUCCUCGUCAAAAAUAGUCGUCGCCUUCCCAGUGACGUGGAAAGCGAAUCAUUCGUCCAAGGACUUACCGCAGACUCCGCGGAUGGCUUUGGUCGCAUUGUCGGCGGAAUCAUUUCCGGAGUGAGGGCCGCAUGGGG
Long non-coding RNA from Macrobrachium nipponense, 1664 nucleotides. RefSeq lists it as uncharacterized. The transcript is spliced from 3 exons. The record is from RefSeq and is a predicted model, not a curated record. NCBI's taxonomy places the organism in Eukaryota, Metazoa, Arthropoda, Malacostraca, Decapoda, Palaemonidae.